CCCCUAGAUGUCCUGGGCCGCACGCGCAAUACAAUGUAAAGUUCAGAAAGCAUAUCCUGUUCCGGAAGGCAAUGGGUAAUCUUUUCAAUAUUUUACGUGUUGGGGAUCGAUCUUUGCAAUUAUAGAUCUUGAACGAGGAAUACCUAGUAAGUGCAGCUCAUCAGGCUGUACUGAUUACGUCCCUGCCCUUUGUACACACCGCCCGUCGCUCCUACCGAUUUCGAGUGGUCCGGUGAAUCUUUUGGAAUUAGAGUGCAAACUCAAACUAAGAUCGAUAAACCUUAUCACUUAGAGGAAGGAGAAGUCGUAACA
This 312-nucleotide ribosomal RNA is filed under the name uncultured eukaryote. RNAcentral describes it as "partial 18S ribosomal RNA". It matches the Rfam family "Eukaryotic small subunit ribosomal RNA", at positions 1470 to 1796 of the family's 1831-position model. The record is from RNAcentral.